This 495-nucleotide long non-coding RNA is filed under the name Equus caballus (horse). Its description in RNAcentral is "lncRNA (ENSECAG00000053417.1)". Lineage: Eukaryota; Metazoa; Chordata; Mammalia; Perissodactyla; Equidae. The record is from RNAcentral.
GUAAGGGAAUCUCCUCUCCUUCCCCCAACGGCAAGGACCCUUGGCUCUGGACCAUCAGCAGCUCCGAGAGGAAAAGGGGGAAUGGUGGCCCUGCACAGGAACACUUUCACUCUCCAAGUUCCCUCACAGCCCAUGGGAAAGCAUGACAGAGAGCUAACUAAAUUACUGCAGGAGUGUCUUCCUCAAGCUAACACUCCAGGAGAGCAGACAGCAAAGGCAGAGGAAGAAUGCCCCAGGAUCAUGCAGGAUUCCAAGUGUAAAGAGAAGCAGAAGCCAAUGGCACUGAAUCAACUGGAACUCCCAAUAGCAGAAUAUGAGAGUUGCCGUUUCUCUACAUCCUUGCCAACACCGACUAUUGGCAAUGGUGUAACUCUAGCCAUUACGGUGGGUAACAAAUGAUGUGGAACACCCUUUCAUACGCUUAUUGGACAUUUGGAUGUCCUCUUUUGUGAAGCACCAGUUCAAAUCAUUUGACUGUUUAAAAACUGCAUUGUC